Molecule: transfer RNA, 75 nt
Filed under: Nitrospira bacterium SG8_35_1
Lineage: Bacteria; Pseudomonadati; Nitrospirota; Nitrospiria
Also listed under: 2 other names
Description: tRNA-Val
Rfam family: tRNA
About the family: Transfer RNA (tRNA) molecules are approximately 80 nucleotides in length. Their secondary structure includes four short double-helical elements and three loops (D, anti-codon, and T loops). Further hydrogen bonds mediate the characteristic L-shaped molecular structure. tRNAs have two regions of fundamental functional importance: the anti-codon, which is responsible for specific mRNA codon recognition, and the 3' end, to which the tRNAs corresponding amino acid is attached (by aminoacyl-tRNA synthetases). tRNAs cope with the degeneracy of the genetic code in two manners: having more than one tRNA (with a specific anti-codon) for a particular amino acid; and 'wobble' base-pairing, i.e. permitting non-standard base-pairing at the 3rd anti-codon position.
Source: RNAcentral
GGGCGAUUAGCUCAGGGGGAGAGCGCUGCCUUCACACGGCAGAGGCCGCUGGUUCGAAACCAGCAUCGCCCACCA